AGUGAACGCUGGCGGUAGGCCUAACACAUGCAAGUCGAACGGCAGCACAGUAAGAGCUUGCUCUUACGGGUGGCGAGUGGCGGACGGGUGAGGAAUACAUCGGAAUCUACUUUUUCGUGGGGGAUAACGUAGGGAAACUUACGCUAAUACCGCAUACGACCUACGGGUGAAAGCAGGGGAUCUUCGGACUUUGCCCGUUUGAUGGAGCCGAUGUCGGAUUAGCUAGUUGGCGGGGUAAAGGCCCACCAAGGCGACGAUCCGUAGCUGGUCUGAGAGGAUGAUCAGCCACACUGGAACUGAGACACGGUCCAGACUCCUACGGGAGGCAGCAGUGGGGAAUAUUGGACAAUGGGCGCAAGCCUGAUCCAGCCAUACCGCGUGGGUGAAGAAGGCCUUCGGGUUGUAAAGCCCUUUUGUCGGGAAAGAAAAGCAGCAGGUUAAUACCCCGCUGUUCUGACGGUACCCAAAGAAUAAGCACCGGCUAACUUCGUG
Molecule: ribosomal RNA, 492 nt
Filed under: uncultured bacterium
Lineage: Bacteria
Description: partial 16S ribosomal RNA
Rfam family: Bacterial small subunit ribosomal RNA
Source: RNAcentral